Non-coding RNA from Microcebus murinus (gray mouse lemur), 1669 nucleotides. NCBI's taxonomy places the organism in Eukaryota, Metazoa, Chordata, Mammalia, Primates, Cheirogaleidae. The record is from RefSeq and is a predicted model, not a curated record.
CACAUACUGUGUGCGUUGUCCAACCUCAGUUCUCUUGUGCCCGGUAUCCCCUGAGACUUCUGAGUUAAAUUAGAAGAGAGAGAAGUUGCUGAGAAUUCUAUAAUAGGUAGUAAUGGUGACAGUACUGAUUUAUCAGCUAGAAAAGCAAAGAAGCGGGCAUUUAAGUUAGAGGAGGAUGAAGAAAUUGAACUAGGUUACAAAUAUUCAAAGACAUACUGGAAGAGGCGAGAGAACAAUAGUAAUAAUGAGAAGGCCUUGGAUCUAGAGCCAAAAGCUAUCAUAGAUCAGACUGUGAGGAAAAAAAGUAAGAGAAAAAACAAAGCAACAUGUGGUGUAGUGGAUGAUGGUGAUGAAGAAACCAAAAGAAAAUCACCAAAGAAAAAGGAGAAAUGUGAAUAUAAAAAAAAGACGAAGAAUCCCAAGUCUCCAAAAGCGCAGGCAGUAAAAGAGCGGACCAUCCAGAGCUGUAGUCCUCCAAAAGGUUCUGCUAGAAACAGCCUUGCUAAAGUCAGAAAGAAAGGUGGUGUAGGCGUUUGUUCAAAAGAUAGUCCCAGUUCCUCCUCGGAGUCUGAGUCUUCUCAUGAAUCCGCCAGCGAUGUUCUCAGUAAUGCCACUUUGAAGGUCAGAAAUUCCUCAGAGAAAGUAUCAGCUGAGUUAUCAAAGGAAGGACCCUCUACAAAAAACCCAGCUGCAAACAAACUGGCUACAAAAGCUGGCUUUAACCUUACCCCCAGCAAGGACAAGACCUCAUCAUCUUCUAGUUCAGACUCUAGUUCAGAGUCAGAUGACCAGUGCAUGAUAUCAAAGACAACCCCGGAGCGUGCUGCCAGUUUCUUAAAGACCGUAGGCCUCUUUGCAGGAAGAGGUUGUCCUGGUCCAGGGUCAUCGUCACAGUCUCCAAGUGCUGCUGGGUGGAAGCAUUCUGACUUAAACUGUGGCAGACAAGCUCCUGGUCCUCCUUCCAACACGUCUCUCCCCACUAAUUUAGGAAGAGGAUGGGGUAGAGGAGAGGACCUUCUCUCUUGGAAGGGAGCUAGGGGUCGGGGCAUGUGUGGGAGAGGGCGAGGACGAGGGCAGGCUGUUUCUAGUCUUCUAAAUAGAAACACUGAAUACCAGAAGCAGCAGCAGUUAAAUGAAACAAUAACAAACUCAUCUACUAUUAUCCAGAAUCCAGUAGAGAGACACAAGAAGGACUAUACUCUGUUACCACUGCUGGCAGCUGCCCCUCAAGUUGGAGAAAAGAUUGCAUUUAAGCUUUUGGAACUAACAUCUGAUUACUCUCCUGAUGUCUCUGACUAUAAGGAAGGAAAAAUAUUAAGCCACAAUCCAGAAACUUAGCAAGUAGACAUAGAAAUUCUUUCAUCUUUACCUGCUGUGAAGGAACCUGGGAAAUUUGAUUUGGUUUAUCACAACGAAAAUGGAACCGAGGUAGUGGAGUAUGCUGUGACACAGGAGAGGAAGAUCACCGUUUUCUGGAGAGAGUUGAUUGAUCCAAGACUGAUUAUUGAAUCUCCGAGUAAAACAUCAAGUAAAGAACUUGUCUGAGUAUGACCUCUCCACCUCUUGGUUUAUAAAUGUCUUAUUUGUGAAACUGACUAUAACCAGAACUUUUUUUUUUUUAAAAAAAGAGGAUUUGAAAGUUGUAUGGAUUUUUUUUUGUUACCUUCAC